AUGAACGCUAGCUACAGGCUUAACACAUGCAAGUCGAGGGGCAGCAUGAAGUCAGCUUGCUGACUUUGAUGGCGACCGGCGCACGGGUGAGUAACGCGUAUCCAACCUUCCCCUUACUCAGGAAUAGCCCGUUGAAAGACGGAUUAAUGCCUGAUGUUCUCUAUUUCCGGCAUCGGUAAUAGAGCAAAGAUUCAUCGGUAAGGGAUGGGGAUGCGUAUGAUUAGCUUGUUGGCGGGGUAACGGCCCACCAAGGCAACGAUCAUUAGGGGUUCUGAGAGGAAGGUCCCCCACACUGGAACUGAGACACGGUCCAGACUCCUACGGGAGGCAGCAGUGAGGAAUAUUGGUCAAUGGUCUGACGACUGAACCAGCCAUGCCGCGUGAAGGUGACGGCCCUAUGGGUCUUAAACUUCUUUUGCAAGGGAGCAAUAAGGCGUACGUGUACGUCGAUGAGAGUACCUUGCGAAUAAGCAUCGGCUAACUCCGUG
This 488-nucleotide ribosomal RNA is filed under the name uncultured bacterium. RNAcentral describes it as "bacterial SSU rRNA". It matches the Rfam family "Bacterial small subunit ribosomal RNA", at positions 29 to 507 of the family's 1533-position model. The record is from RNAcentral.